CUGGGCUCGAACGGCUUUUCAACGACGGUGGAAACAUCGUUAUCCCGCAAGGGAGUAGAGUCGAGGUGCUGCAUGGCUGUCGUCAGCUCGUGUCGUGAGAUGUUGGGUUAAGUCCCGCAACGAGCGCAACCCUUGUCCUGUGUUGCCACCAUUUAGUUGGGCACUCUCAGGAGACCGCCAGCGAUAAGUUGGAGGAAGGUGGGGAUGACGUCAAGUCAUCAUGGCCUUUAUGUCCAGGGCUACACACGUGCUACAAUGGGCGGUACAAAGCGCUGCAAACCCGCGAGGGGGAGCCAAUCGCAUAAAACCGUUCUCAGUUCGGAUCGCAGGCUGCAACUCGCCUGCGUGAAGCUGGAAUCGCUAGUAAUGGUAUAUCAGAAUGAUACCGUGAAUACGUUCC
RNAcentral lists this ribosomal RNA (400 nucleotides) under uncultured bacterium. RNAcentral describes it as "bacterial SSU rRNA". It matches the Rfam family "Bacterial small subunit ribosomal RNA", at positions 975 to 1374 of the family's 1533-position model. The record is from RNAcentral.